This 1394-nucleotide ribosomal RNA is filed under the name Mycolicibacterium iranicum. Its description in RNAcentral is "bacterial SSU rRNA". It matches the Rfam family "Bacterial small subunit ribosomal RNA". The record is from RNAcentral. Lineage: Bacteria; Bacillati; Actinomycetota; Actinomycetes; Mycobacteriales; Mycobacteriaceae.
UUACACAUGCAAGUCGAACGGACCCUUUGGGGUUAGUGGCGAACGGGUGAGUAACACGUGGGUGAUCUGCCCUGCACUUUGGGAUAAGCCUGGGAAACUGGGUCUAAUACCGGAUAGGACUACGCACUGCAUGGUGUGUGGUGGAAAGCUUUUGCGGUGUGGGAUGGGCCCGCGGCCUAUCAGCUUGUUGGUGGGGUGAUGGCCUACCAAGGCGACGACGGGUAGCCGGCCUGAGAGGGUGACCGGCCACACUGGGACUGAGAUACGGCCCAGACUCCUACGGGAGGCAGCAGUGGGGAAUAUUGCACAAUGGGCGCAAGCCUGAUGCAGCGACGCCGCGUGAGGGAUGACGGCCUUCGGGUUGUAAACCUCUUUCGCCAGGGACGAAGCGCAAGUGACGGUACCUGGAGAAGAAGGACCGGCCAACUACGUGCCAGCAGCCGCGGUAAUACGUAGGGUCCGAGCGUUGUCCGGAAUUACUGGGCGUAAAGAGCUCGUAGGUGGUUUGUCGCGUUGUUCGUGAAAACUCACAGCUUAACUGUGGGCGUGCGGGCGAUACGGGCAGACUGGAGUACUGCAGGGGAGACUGGAAUUCCUGGUGUAGCGGUGGAAUGCGCAGAUAUCAGGAGGAACACCGGUGGCGAAGGCGGGUCUCUGGGCAGUAACUGACGCUGAGGAGCGAAAGCGUGGGGAGCGAACAGGAUUAGAUACCCUGGUAGUCCACGCCGUAAACGGUGGGUACUAGGUGUGGGUUUCCUUCCUUGGGAUCCGUGCCGUAGCUAACGCAUUAAGUACCCCGCCUGGGGAGUACGGCCGCAAGGCUAAAACUCAAAGGAAUUGACGGGGGCCCGCACAAGCGGCGGAGCAUGUGGAUUAAUUCGAUGCAACGCGAAGAACCUUACCUGGGUUUGACAUGCACAGGACGCCGGCAGAGAUGUCGGUUCCCUUGUGGCCUGUGUGCAGGUGGUGCAUGGCUGUCGUCAGCUCGUGUCGUGAGAUGUUGGGUUAAGUCCCGCAACGAGCGCAACCCUUGUCUCAUGUUGCCAGCACGUUAUGGUGGGGACUCGUGAGAGACUGCCGGGGUCAACUCGGAGGAAGGUGGGGAUGACGUCAAGUCAUCAUGCCCCUUAUGUCCAGGGCUUCACACAUGCUACAAUGGCCGGUACAAAGGGCUGCGAUGCCGUGAGGUGGAGCGAAUCCUUUCAAAGCCGGUCUCAGUUCGGAUCGGGGUCUGCAACUCGACCCCGUGAAGUCGGAGUCGCUAGUAAUCGCAGAUCAGCAACGCUGCGGUGAAUACGUUCCCGGGCCUUGUACACACCGCCCGUCACGUCAUGAAAGUCGGUAACACCCGAAGCCGGUGGCCUAACCCUUGUGGAGGGAGCCGUCGAAGGUGA